UACGGAGGUUGCGAGCGUUAUCCGGAUUUAUUGGGUUUAAAGGGUGCGUAGGCGGAUUUUUAAGUCAGCGGUAAAAUGUCCGGGCUCAACCCGGGCCGGCCGUUGAAACUGGGGAUCUUGAGUGGGCGAGAAGUAUGCGGAAUGCGUGGUGUAGCGGUGAAAUGCAUAGAUAUCACGCAGAACUCCGAUUGCGAAGGCAGCAUACCGGCGCCCGACUGACGCUGAGGCACGAAAGCGUGGGGAUCGAACAGG
Molecule: ribosomal RNA, 252 nt
Filed under: uncultured bacterium
Lineage: Bacteria
Description: partial 16S ribosomal RNA
Rfam family: Bacterial small subunit ribosomal RNA
Source: RNAcentral